RNAcentral lists this ribosomal RNA (253 nucleotides) under uncultured bacterium. Its description in RNAcentral is "partial 16S ribosomal RNA". It matches the Rfam family "Bacterial small subunit ribosomal RNA", at positions 524 to 776 of the family's 1533-position model. The record is from RNAcentral.
UACGUAGGGGGCGAGCGUUGUCCGGAUUUACUGGGCGUAAAGAGCGUGUAGGCGGCCAAGCAGGUCUGUUGUGAAAACUGGAGGCUCAACCUCCAGACGUCGACAGAAACCGCUUGGCUAGAGUCCGGAAGAGGAGAGUGGAAUUCCUGGUGUAGCGGUGAAAUGCGCAGAUAUCAGGAAGAACACCAAUGGCGAAGGCAGCUCUCUGGGACGGUACUGACGCUGAGACGCGAAAGCGUGGGGAGCGAACAGG